RNAcentral lists this ribosomal RNA (444 nucleotides) under Aleiodes rugulosus. RNAcentral's name for it is "LSU rRNA". Lineage: Eukaryota; Metazoa; Arthropoda; Insecta; Hymenoptera; Braconidae. The record is from RNAcentral.
CCUGAGAAACCCAAAAGAUCGAAUGGGGAGAUUCAUCGUCAGCUCAUUUUGUAUAUGUAUAAGUUACGAUGCGGGUUACUACUUGUAGUAUUGCCUGUACGUUCUUGUAUAUUUUGUUGCAAGAUGUUGUCGGCGUGCACUUCUUCCCUAGUAGGACGUCGCGACCCGUUGGGUGUCGGUCUACGGCCYAAGUGAUAGCCUUUAAUGUAAUUUAAAAAUCAUUGAAGAUCCUUGGUGUUUUCUGACCGACUACUUGGCGGUAUUCGUACGGUAUUUAGCCGCUAAAUUAAUUAGCGUCCAUGUCCGUCACAAGCGAGGCUAAUUUACUGAUAGUACGGACCUAGUGCCGUCGUUGGUAUUGGCCAGCUGUUGGUUGUACGUGAUUCUGGGACUGGCUAAAAUUAAUUACCGGUCGGCGAUGCUACUGCUUUGGGUACUUUCAGG